GGCUGCGUAGCUCAACUGGAUAGAGUACUUGACUACGAAUCAAGCGGUUCCAGGUUCGAAUCCUGGCGCGGUCA
Molecule: transfer RNA, 74 nt
Filed under: Lewinella sp. 4G2
Lineage: Bacteria; Pseudomonadati; Bacteroidota; Saprospiria; Saprospirales; Lewinellaceae
Rfam family: tRNA
About the family: Transfer RNA (tRNA) molecules are approximately 80 nucleotides in length. Their secondary structure includes four short double-helical elements and three loops (D, anti-codon, and T loops). Further hydrogen bonds mediate the characteristic L-shaped molecular structure. tRNAs have two regions of fundamental functional importance: the anti-codon, which is responsible for specific mRNA codon recognition, and the 3' end, to which the tRNAs corresponding amino acid is attached (by aminoacyl-tRNA synthetases). tRNAs cope with the degeneracy of the genetic code in two manners: having more than one tRNA (with a specific anti-codon) for a particular amino acid; and 'wobble' base-pairing, i.e. permitting non-standard base-pairing at the 3rd anti-codon position.
Source: Rfam by way of RNAcentral